RNAcentral lists this long non-coding RNA (695 nucleotides) under Populus trichocarpa (black cottonwood). RNAcentral's name for it is "long non-coding RNA (PTRI_LNC000412)". The record is from RNAcentral. Lineage: Eukaryota; Viridiplantae; Streptophyta; Magnoliopsida; Malpighiales; Salicaceae.
AAAUUGUUUCUUGUUCAACAAGGUUACAUCACCAAUUCUUUAUGCGCUACGUAGAUACACAAACUGGAGUCUUCUAUUAUUGAUAGGUAUGGGAAAAACAAAAAAAUUCACAUCAUGUUGAAAGAAGGAAAAAAAUCAUGAAUAUGAUCUAAGAUACAAACUAUCACAAACUGAAUUGAACCCUUAAUGCAGUCUAAAAAUGAGGCCAUGGAGGAGGCAAAUUGAUGUAGAGAUCUAUGGUUACAUCAGAUUUACCCAGCUCACUUGUAGGUUCCCAUACCCACACCAACGUCUCCACUGUAUGGAUGGAAGCUGUCACUGGCCCUGGAAUAGCAAACAUAGUAGAACUCGGAAACUAUGGCAGUGAACAAAGUAAAUGCAGCUCCUGCUGCAAAAACUCCUUUCCUCAAUGAUGGGCAAUCCAGGUUUUCACCGAAAAAAUUCUUGUACUUGGUGUGGUAGGCAUUCCUUAUUGAACCCGCAAACAAGCAUAUUUCAGCAAUGAAGAAAAACACCCUGGAGAGGACAAUUGAAAAAGUUCAGAAAAAGAAAACAUGGGUUCUAUAAGAUACAUUGAAAGAAAUAGACCUAAUUUUAGCUUGCUCACAAAAACAUGGUUAUGGAUAAAGGUUAGCAGCAUCUAUGUUCAAUAAUGGAUACUUUUCAUAGUUCAGCUUUGGAUUAGCAUCACCUAC